CAACUUGCUCAGCCAGUAGAGCAUGAGACUCUUAAUCUCAGGGUAGUGGGUUCAAGCCCCACGUUG
RNAcentral lists this transfer RNA (66 nucleotides) under Erinaceus europaeus (western European hedgehog). It matches the Rfam family "tRNA". From Rfam's summary of the family: Transfer RNA (tRNA) molecules are approximately 80 nucleotides in length. The record is from Rfam by way of RNAcentral. Lineage: Eukaryota; Metazoa; Chordata; Mammalia; Eulipotyphla; Erinaceidae.